CUCCCUCUCCCUACUGUGCUUCACAACCGAUCUGAGAUCAGAUAGCAUUGCUGAAGGAGGUCAUCAAUGGCUGAGAUGUGUUCGAUCUAGGGCUUGAUCUGAUCGAUCUUGUAGAGAUUCGGAAGGAGGUCGAGAUCUGGCGUUCAGAUCUGGCGUUCCGAUCACAUGGCCCAUCGGAUUGACGGAAAAAAAAAAAUUUAGAAAUUUCGACUUCUUUGGUUAUUGAUUUGUUGAUUUUGCAGACUUCUUCCUCCUGAAGUGCUUCUGUGGUUCUGUGGUUCUACUUCUUCCCAAAUUUCUGCUUCUGUGGUAUCUGCUUCUGUGGUUCUGUGGUUCUACCUCCUUAAGUGCCCAAACUUUUUCCCAAGAAUCGCCUUCUCUCUGAACAGAGCUCUUCAGGAGGCCUCUGAACUAUCAGCAGCAGCAGGAGAAUGGUGGUUUUUCUUAGGGGUGUGGGAGUGAGUGUUUAGAGAGAUGGGAAAUUGGGUUUAAAGAUUCAAUCCCUCCUUCAAAACCCACCUUCAAAUUCAAACUUUCGAUUCCCUCUCCCUUUAGAUCCGUAGCGUUCCACUCCAAUCCCACCCCAAAUUCCGAAUUCUUGCCGAAGAAAACCCCUGUUUCGCCUCUCUCUCUCUCUCUCUCUCUCUCGCAUUCGGUGUUUCUCUGCUUCUGUUACUUUCUCGGAGUCGUGUGAACAGUGGGAAAUUUAGGGGAAAUUUAUGUUCUUCUCGGAUUCUCUUACCUUUUCGGGAAGAAAGCGGGGAUGAAGAGCUUUCUGUUCUUCCUAGGCACACCAAAGUUAUUGUAACAGGAAACAACAGAACAACAGAACAAGGUGUCGUCAAGAAGGCUGUUGGUCUUGGUGGUUGGCAUUGGCUGGUUGGUGAUGAUAUACGAAUGAUGAUCCAAGUUAGGUUUUUUUUCCAAUCAAUUUGUUUCGUAUGAAUAAAAAUUUCAGCAUCGACAACCACCCUCCCUUCGAACUCGCACUCGC
Non-coding RNA from Camellia sinensis, 994 nucleotides. NCBI's taxonomy places the organism in Eukaryota, Viridiplantae, Streptophyta, Magnoliopsida, Ericales, Theaceae. The record is from RefSeq and is a predicted model, not a curated record.